GUACGGUGAUGAAACUCAUGCGUGUCAACUGACUCUGCCAGUCCUCGCUGUGUCGGCGCUCCGGCCGGCGUUUUGCCAGCCGGAGAGGUCGGGACAGCACGGACCCAGAGACGUGAUCAGGACUUGAUUCUGAGUGC
Cololabis saira (Pacific saury) is the source of this 137-nucleotide small nucleolar RNA. RefSeq annotates it as small nucleolar RNA SNORD10. NCBI's taxonomy places the organism in Eukaryota, Metazoa, Chordata, Actinopteri, Beloniformes, Belonidae. The transcript has a single exon. The record is from RefSeq and is a predicted model, not a curated record.